Molecule: ribosomal RNA, 385 nt
Filed under: uncultured bacterium
Lineage: Bacteria
Description: bacterial SSU rRNA
Rfam family: Bacterial small subunit ribosomal RNA
Source: RNAcentral
AUUGAACGCUGGCGGCAUGCCUUACACAUGCAAGUCGAACGGCAGCACGGGGGCAACCCUGGUGGCGAGUGGCGAACGGGUGAGUAAUGCAUCGGAACGUGCCCAGUAGUGGGGGAUAACUAGUCGAAAGAUUAGCUAAUACCGCAUACGACCUAUGGGUGAAAGCGGGGGACCUUUACCGGCCUCGCGCUAUCGGAGCGGCCGAUGUCUGAUUAGCUAGUUGGCGGGGAAAAGCCCACCAAGGCGACGAUCAGUAGCUGGUCUGAGAGGACGACCAGCCACACUGGGACUGAGACACGGCCCAGACUCCUACGGGAGGCAGCAGUGGGGAAUUUUGGACAAUGGGCGCAAGCCUGAUCCAGCCAUGCCGCGUGCGGGAAGAAGG